AUAUAAACGCAGACAUGUUUUUAGUAUAGAAAGCGUUAAAUGUAAUUAACUACAAACUAGUACAUUUUACUUUCUUAAUUAGUACGAAAUAAAAUGUAAAUCCAAACGUCUUGUAAUAUAAUAAAGAUGCAUUAAUGUCUCUUUUUAUCAUGUGCAUGCCACGACACACCAGAAACAUUAAGGGGAGAAAACCUCUUUAAAAUCUGGAAAAAUGGUCGGGAAAUUUCCCGUAACUUCUCGAUUACUCGUCACGUGACUGACUUAACUUUAUAUAACGUAGCUCUAUACACCAAGUUCAUAACGCAGUGGAUAUACGACGAAGAUAUAAACUGUUUUUAAUCAACUACUACUUGAACAGAAGUCAAGAUUAUCUUAUUUGUUAAAUACACGUGCUUUUUAAAAAGUUGUUUUAGUAAGAACCAUGGAGGAAACUAGUUUUAAAUCAAGUAAUUCUAGCGGCUUUCCAAGUGGGGACUAUACCAGUAGUUUACAUGACCUACCAUUACUAUCUGCUGGAAAAUAUGAUGAUAUAGAAGAAGAUUCAGCGCCAAUAGUGACACUUAAUACUCGCCUACAAGAUUGGAUGAUGGGCGACGAAAGCACGGAUGAAGAGCCAGAAGACUAUGCCCCCGACCCACGGGAAUAUUAUUCUCAUUUCUACCGUGAGAGCGAGAGACUCACAACAUUCCAUGACUGGCCACAUUGGGCAAAUGUAACAAAGGAAGAAUUGGCCAAAAAUGGGUUUUUGUAACUACAUGUAUCUGAUCGCGUGCAAUGUGUGUUCUGUAGAGCUAGUUUAGGUAGCUUUAAACAAGGUGAUGUUAUUGCAAAUGAGCACAGGAAAUAUUGCCCAGAAUGUCCUCUUGCGUUUGGAUAUGAAUGUGGAAAUAUACCCAUUUCGUCGGGCACGAGAGUUUCACAGGCAACACCAGAACAUGCAUUGAAUAGAACAAACCUUUUAAGAACGACUGCAGCUAGAAAUUUUGCUAAUUCUUCGCUUAGGUCAGGCCUGUUUCAAACAACUUCAACUCUAAAUUUAGCUGUUACUGCUGUAUUCGUCACACAAUCACAAAGUGCAGCAACUCUGUCUUCAAUUCAUUCAAAUCAAGAAGAAGCAUCCGCUAUCUCCGAGCCAAAGUACCGUGACUGGGCAGACGAACACAUAAGGUUAUUGUCAUACAGGGGAUGGCCUGCACAAAUGAAGCAAACUCCGAGAGACUUGGCAGCUGCUGGCUUGUUGUAUAUGGGUCAAGCUGAUCGGUGUAAGUGCUACUGGUGCGGAGGGGAACUUCAUGGCUGGGAACCAAACGACAUACCAUUGAUAGAGCAUGAAAAAUGGUUUCCACAAUGCGGGUUUGUAAGGCAGCAG
This is a long non-coding RNA of Dreissena polymorpha, 1369 nucleotides long. RefSeq lists it as uncharacterized. The record is from RefSeq and is a predicted model, not a curated record. Lineage: Eukaryota; Metazoa; Mollusca; Bivalvia; Myida; Dreissenidae. The transcript has 3 exons.